This is an RNA transcript of Xenopus tropicalis (tropical clawed frog), 4679 nucleotides long. It is a transcript of the gene named BMP binding endothelial regulator, with no coding region annotated. NCBI's taxonomy places the organism in Eukaryota, Metazoa, Chordata, Amphibia, Anura, Pipidae. The record is from RefSeq and is marked provisional. The transcript is spliced from 17 exons.
GUGGUGAUGUUUACCUGUGACUGCUGCACGAAGAGAAAUAAUCAAAUCUCAAUAUAAGCUCUUCUGUAUUCAUUUCAUUAAUUACACACUGUGGGGAUUUGCACUUCAUGUGAGGGAUAAAGUGCCUGAAAUAAAGAGUCUCCAUUCUGUUGGUCUGGUCCUUCCUGCUUCCACCUGGAAGUCACUCAUGUCUGGGAGUUGUAACUCAGCAAGAGCUACAUGGGAGUAUGCAUUCCACAUGUUAGGUACUUAACUGCAGCACAGUGAUAGCACAACCUGAUAGCAAAUACAGGGCUGUGGUAAAAUUUUCAUUCUGAAAGCUCAAAUGGCACAGGUGUAGUACAGCAUAUCCAGGGGAGAGAGAGUAUAGGCAGGGUCCUUACAAUGAGUACAGCCCCCCCAGCCCAGCCGCAUAGUCUGUUGUACAUGAAUUACUUCACUGUUUACUCCUAUAGUACUUACUCCAAUACAGGUAUUAAAUCUGGGCAGCCAGGAAUAACAGGACUGAGCAUGAGGAGAAAAAAACACAUUUAUUUUUUUUUUACACACUUAACUUAAACAGCACCACUAGUUACAAAGUUAUGGAAACUGUGCUGCUUUCUGAAUUUUACCACUACUUUCCUACAAAUCAUCUCUCAAAUAUGGCAUAUACUUAACAUUUAGUUAUUGUAUAGUUUAGGAAAACAGGUUGCUUUUGGUUAAUGACUUUGUCCUACAAUAGAAAAAUUUCCUGUGGAUUCUUAUGCAGGCACCUAGUGUGAGAUCAGUCGAGGUGCCACUCUCUGUCUUUUAUCUAAGAUCAGUGACCUCCCCUCCCAUGAUAGGAUCAGUGAAAAUCAACGCUGGCUGUCUGCACACACCCCCGACACAAGCAGCAGAAGCAGCAGCAGCAGCAGCAGGCUCACUGGAAUCAGAAUCGGGAUGAUUAAGGCACGCUUGUGUGUUGGGUUAAAACACUGGAGGAGGGGUACAGAGGAAGAAAAUAUAGGAAACGGAAGCCAACCAAAAGUGUAAUAGUAGCAGCAGUCUGUCCAACAGCAGCACCAGCAGAGGGACCCUCCUCUGAUCACCCCCCCUACUUGUCCUCAGCCCCAGUAGUAAUCAUACUAGUUAACACUAGGUGACUCGCAGCCUGCGCUCUGUUCUUGACUCCUGACUCUAAACCUGCAACAGCCUGGAUGCUGUAGGACCAUGCACAGCUGCCCCUUCACUGGCAAGUGCCUGCUGCCAAUGUGCCUCACCUUUCCUGGAAUUUCCAUCACAUUUACUGGCUGGAUUCUUGUGCUCUCUACUGUGGUUCGAAUGUCUCUGGCAUCCUCAUUCUUGACAGCAGCCUCUGGAUGCAAUAGGACCAUGCACAGCUGCCCCUCCACUGGCAAGUGCCUGCUGCCAAUGAGUCUCACCUUUUCUGAAAUUCCCAUCACAUUUAUUGGCUGGAUUCUUGUGCUCUCUACUGUGGUUCGAAUGUCUCUGGCAUCCUCAUUUUUGACAGGAUCUAUUGCCAAAUGUGAAAAUGAGGGAGAAGCCCUACAGAUUCCAUUUAUCACUGAUAACCCCUGUAUCUCCUGUGUUUGCCUGAACAAAGAAGUCACCUGCAAACGAGAGAAGUGCCCAGUACUCUCCAAGGAUUGCGCUUUGGUUGUAAAGCAAAGAGGAGCUUGCUGUGAACGCUGUAAAGGUUGCAACUACCAAGGCAGCCAUUACAACAGCUCAAUGAAAUGGAGAGACUCUGUCCAGCCUUGCAUUACUCGUCAGUGUCAGGAGGGUGUUAUUACAGAAUCUGAAGUUCAGUGUCUAGUCCACUGUAGAAAUCCACAAAGACAAUCGGGAUUGUGUUGCCCAACAUGUCCAGGUUGCAUAUACGAGGGCCGACAAUAUAAAGAAGGAGAUGAAUUUCAGCCAGAAGGGAAUAAAUGCCUCAAAUGUUCUUGCAUCGGAGGCAGGACACAGUGCAUAAAGGAAGUGUGUCCAAUCCUGUCAUGUCCCCAGCAUCUAAGUCACAUUCCCACAGGGCAGUGCUGUCCUAAAUGUAUAGGCCAAAGAAAGGUUUUUGACCUACCUUCGGGCAGUUGCCUUUUCCGAAGUGAUGUCUAUGACAAUCAUUCCACCUUUAUGUAUGACCGCUGCACUACCUGUUCCUGCAAGGACUCAACUGUUGUUUGCAAGAGGAAAUGCUCUCCUGUUGGAACAUGUAAUAGAGAUAAGGAACAAUGCUGUGAAGAUUGUGUCUCCCACGUAAUGGCUGAAGAAGUCAAAAUAUGCAAGUCUGGGAGCAAAAUAUUCAGGGAUGGAGAGAUGUGGUCUUCAUUUAAUUGCACUAUCUGUUCUUGUGUGAAAGGCAAGACUGAGUGUCGCAAAAAACAGUGUAUUCCAGUCAACAGCUGCCCACAAGGCAAAAUACUAAAUAGAAAAGGAUGCUGUCCUAUUUGCACUGAAAAACCUGGAGUAUGUACUGUAUUUGGGGACCCCCACUACAAUACUUUUGAUGGGAGAACCUUCAACUUUCAAGGAACCUGCCAGUAUGUUUUAACUAAAGACUGCUCCUCUUCUACCUCGUCCUUUCAAGUGCUGGUAAAAAAUGAUGCACGACGGACCCAUUCUUUUUCAUGGACAAAAUCAGUGGACCUAAUUAUGGGAGAGAGCAGUAUUAGCCUCCAGCAACAUCUUACAGUCAAAUGGAAUGGAACUCGAAUAUCAUUGCCCUAUGAAACACCUCAGUUUCAUAUUGAUCUUGAUGGAUAUCUUCUGAAAGUUACAACAAAAGCAGGUCUAGAAAUUUCAUGGGAUGGAGAUAGCUUUGUUGAAGUAAUGGCCGCUCCCCAUCUAAAAGGAAAGCUCUGUGGCUUGUGUGGUAACUACAAUGGACAUAAACGUGAUGAUCUGAUAGGAAGUGAUGGGGAUUUUAAGUUUGAUGUUGAUGACUUUGGAGACUCCUGGAGAGUAGAGUCAAACGAAUUCUGUAACCGUCCACAGAGAAAGACUAUACCUGAACUUUGCCAAGGAACUGUGAAAGUAAAACUCAGAGCUCACCGAGAAUGCCAAAAGCUGAAAUCUUGGGACUUUCAGAAUUGCCACUCCACAGUGGAUUAUGCAAUGUUCUAUAGAUCUUGUGUGACAGAUAUGUGUGAAUGCCCAGUGCAUAAAAAUUGUUACUGUGAAUCCCUAAUUGCCUACGCCAGAGCCUGUUUACGAGAAGGUGUGAAAGUACACUGGAAGCCAGAACACACUUGUGCAGCUAAAACACAGCAGCCUGAAGGAUCCCUAUUACUACGGAAAAAAAGAGCCACAAUUGGGUGAUGCUUAUAAAUGAUGGAUUCAAGAUUUCCAUUAUUUUUGCCAUUCUAGUUUUCAAACAUUUUCAACACAUUAUUCUUGUUGGCACCAUGCAACAUAUCAGUGGCAAAAUCCAGCGGUCCAGUGUAAACAUGGAGCAGUUUAUGAUACCUGUGGACCUGGGUGCCUCAAGACAUGUGAAAACUGGAAUGAGAUUGGUCCGUGCAAUAAACCUUGUGUGGCAGGAUGCCACUGUCCUGCUAACUUAGUGCUUCACAAAGGAAAAUGUAUCAAACCAGCUCUUUGCCCACAGCGGUGACAAUAAGCCUCCAUCAAGGACUUCUGAAGUUAUUUUUUAAAGCUCUCACCCAAUGAAGGACUCGACUGUUUAAACUUGUAAAAAUAUGUCAUGUUGAUACAGCCACACAAAAACAAUUAAUAUAAAUAUAUAUAUAUAUAUAUAUAUAUAAAUACAAAUACAGCCUUUAUAUAAGCAAAGAAGGAAAUUAUGUAUAUUUUUUGCUAUGAGGAUUAUGUAUUUUUUUGUUAGGAUUCUAUCCAUUAAGCUAUUUGAACAAUUGUAAAAAUAAAACAGAUGUUUUUAAUUUAAUAUAGUGGCAUGAAAAGAAAUAUUGGAUGGCUUUGCCAUGGCUAAAGAUCUAGUCUUUCUUCCUUUUUUUUUUUUUAAAAGAAGAAUUUUUGUGGCAGUAAACUUGCCAGACUGGAUUAUUUUCAGCAUAAAACAUGAAUUGACAUUUCAAUGGGGAAACAAGGGAUCUCUGGAGAUCGAGGAUUUGCUCAAAUGUGAGAGAAACUGAUUCAGUUGCUGAAACUUGAGUGAUGAACCAUUGAACAUAAGCCUUUAGAAAUGGACAGAUAUUCUUAUUUACGAAAAGAAAUAUAUUUUUAGGGCUUUCUAUGUUCUCAAACUCUUGUAUGGUGAAUAACUAAACAGAAAAAUAAUGUUGUCUAAUACAAUGUAAAAUUCCAAAUAUACGUUUUAGAAAACACUCAUGCCACACAUUUACUCAAUAAGACCAGCACUUUAGUGAUCCACCAGUUAUAGUAUUGACAUGCUGCUGGGAGCAAUAUAGUAAUGCAUCCACUAUAUUGCAGUUCUACUAGAUCACUGAACAAAUGAAAAUGUAAACUGUCUUUGUUCCACCACUGCUAAGGAUGGUCUGACCAAAUAUUGAACCACAGAUGGGGGCUAGAACCAAGUCUGAGAACCAUUCUCUGCACUUGUUCCUGAGAUGAUAUUAAAAUGCUUAAUGUGAUAUUGAUCAUAGAUCACAGCGUGAUUUUCAGAUGACAGCACCUAUUGUUAUCAGUCCAUGGGUUUCUGCAGUAAAGCCAUCAAUCAAAAUAAAGCUGUUUGCCUAGUGUAAGCCUGCAUACAAUCACUA